UAGGGAAGUCUUCCACAAUGGACGCAAGUCUGAUGGAGCAACGCCGCGUGAGUGAAGAAGGGUUUCGGCUCGUAAAGCUCUGUUGUUAAAGAAGAACGUGGGUAAGAGUAACUGUUUACCCAGUGACGGUAUUUAACCAGAAAGCCACGGCUAACUACGUACCAG
RNAcentral lists this ribosomal RNA (165 nucleotides) under uncultured bacterium. Its description in RNAcentral is "partial 16S rRNA". It matches the Rfam family "Bacterial small subunit ribosomal RNA", at positions 355 to 511 of the family's 1533-position model. The record is from RNAcentral.